Molecule: ribosomal RNA, 208 nt
Filed under: Vibrio alginolyticus
Lineage: Bacteria; Pseudomonadati; Pseudomonadota; Gammaproteobacteria; Vibrionales; Vibrionaceae
Description: partial 16S ribosomal RNA
Rfam family: Bacterial small subunit ribosomal RNA
Source: RNAcentral
AUGCCUACGGGCCAAAGAGGGGGACCUUCGGGCCUCUCGCGUCAGGAUAUGCCUAGGUGGGAUUAGCUAGUUGGUGAGGUAAGGGCUCACCAAGGCAACGAUCCCUAGCUGGUCUGAGAGGAUGAUCAGCCACACUGGAACUGAGACACGGUCCAGACUCCUACGGGAGGCAGCAGUGGGGAAUAUUGCACAAUGGGCGCAAGCCUGA